CGUGCUCUACGGCGUUCGUGGAUGCUCUUAUAUUUCUUGAGCCGAUAAUCUUCUUUAGGGAACUAACCUUGGUGCUGUGUGCAUGUCCGCACGACGGAAAGCCUAAUGCACUAAUUGCUGUUCCCACUUGAACCGUUGGGUUCGAGAAGAGUGAGCGUUGCGGCGCAGGUGGAGUACGC
RNAcentral lists this non-coding RNA (179 nucleotides) under Gammaproteobacteria bacterium. RNAcentral describes it as "6S RNA". It matches the Rfam family "6S / SsrS RNA". From Rfam's summary of the family: E. coli 6S RNA was the first non coding RNA to be sequenced, but its function was unknown until recently. It consists of 184 nucleotides that fold into an extended hairpin structure with a large single-stranded internal bulge. The record is from RNAcentral. Lineage: Bacteria; Pseudomonadati; Pseudomonadota; Gammaproteobacteria.